This 327-nucleotide ribosomal RNA is filed under the name uncultured bacterium. Its description in RNAcentral is "bacterial SSU rRNA". It matches the Rfam family "Bacterial small subunit ribosomal RNA", at positions 30 to 353 of the family's 1533-position model. The record is from RNAcentral.
AUUGAACGCUGGCGGCAGGCCUAACACAUGCAAGUCGAGCGGUAACAGGACUAGCUUGCUAGUUGCUGACAAGCGGCGGACGGGUGCGUAACACGUAGGAAUCUACCCAGUAGCGGGGGAUAGCCCGGAGAAAUCCGGAUUAAUACCGCAUACGCCCUACGGGGGAAAGCAGGGGAUCUUCGGACCUUGCACUAUUGGAUGAACCUGCGCCGGAUUAGCUUGUUGGUGGGGUAAAAGCCCACCAAGGCGACGAUCCGUAGCUGGUCUUAGAGGAUGAUCAGCCACACUGGGACUGAGACACGGCCCAGACUCCUACGGGAGGCAGCA